This 367-nucleotide ribosomal RNA is filed under the name uncultured bacterium. Its description in RNAcentral is "bacterial SSU rRNA". It matches the Rfam family "Bacterial small subunit ribosomal RNA", at positions 28 to 394 of the family's 1533-position model. The record is from RNAcentral.
GACGAACGCUGGCGGCGCGCUUAACACAUGCAAGUCGAACGUGAAGCUGGAGCUUGCUCCGGUGGAAAGUGGCGAACGGGUGCGUAACACGUGAGCAACCUGCCCCGAAGACUGGGAUAACACCGGGAAACCGGUGCUAAUACCGGAUACCUUUUUCCGAUCGCAUGGUUGGAUAAAGAAAUGGAUUCCGCUUCGGGAUGGGCUCGCGGCCUAUCAGCUUGUUGGNGAGGUAACGGCCCACCAAGGCGACGACGGGUAGCUGGUCUGAGAGGACGACCAGCCACACUGGGACUGAGACACGGCCCAGACUCCUACGGGAGGCAGCAGUGGGGAAUCUUGCUCAAUGGGCGAAAGCCUGAAGCAGCGA